Molecule: long non-coding RNA, 575 nt
Organism: Macrobrachium nipponense
Lineage: Eukaryota; Metazoa; Arthropoda; Malacostraca; Decapoda; Palaemonidae
Exons: 2
Source: RefSeq, a predicted model, not a curated record
CAAGUAGGAUUGUACAAGUCUUCUGAUGACGAUAGCUUGAUCGCUUCUGCCAAUGAUGAUGGCUAAGUUCUAUUCUCUCUACAUGAUAAAGCUUAGGUAAAGAGGUACAGGUCUUCUAAUGACGAUAGCUAACUCUAUUCUGCUCUGUCUACCAUCUCGGUUACAAGUCCUAAAGGAGCAGACAGUAGCUCGAACAUAUGAACAUACAAUCAGAUGACAUAGUUACAUACGAACACACAAUCAGAUGACAUAGUUACUAAUCACGUAGGCCGCUUGAGCUAUAGGUCACGGUGUUUGUCUCAAGCAGGAAGCUUGGACUAAAGUUUAUAAACAAUUGAAUGACUACAGGUGACGGCAUGUUAUCUUAGCCUACUUUUAUUGUAUACGUCAUCUUUAGCGUCUCUAGUCUGAUCACAUUCCUGCAAGCAAAUCUGGUUGACCUCUUUAGUUUUAGUCUUUUAUAUAUAUGGAAUAACAUUCCAUAUUUUUAUUAUGUAAACACUUACAUAUAUAUAUAUAUAUAUAUAUAUAUAUAUAUAUAUAUAUAUAUAUAUAUAUAUAUAUAUAUAUAUAUA